UGGAGGGUUGAGAAGGUGACGCAGCUGACCAUGUGCUGCUGUGACCGGUUAGAACCUCCCACAGCAACUGUCAAAGCGCUUCUCGACAUGGU
This is a small nucleolar RNA of Synchiropus splendidus (mandarinfish), 92 nucleotides long. RefSeq annotates it as small nucleolar RNA SNORA47. The transcript has a single exon. The record is from RefSeq and is a predicted model, not a curated record. NCBI's taxonomy places the organism in Eukaryota, Metazoa, Chordata, Actinopteri, Syngnathiformes, Callionymidae.